AGUCGUAACAAGGUCUCCGUUGGUGAACCAGCGGAGGGAUCAUUACCGAGUUUACAACUCCCAAACCCCUGUGAACAUACCAAUUGUUGCCUCGGCGGAUCAGCCCGCUCCCGGUAAAACGGGACGGCCCGCCAGAGGACCCCUAAACUCUGUUUCUAUAUGUAACUUCUGAGUAAAACCAUAAAUAAAUCAAAACUUUCAACAACGGAUCUCUUGGUUCUGGCAUCGAUGAAGAACGCAGCAAAAUGCGAUAAGUAAUGUGAAUUGCAGAAUUCAGUGAAUCAUCGAAUCUUUGAACGCACAUUGCGCCCGCCAGUAUUCUGGCGGGCAUGCCUGUUCGAGCGUCAUUUCAACCCUCAAGCCCAGCUUGGUGUUGGGACUCGCGAGUCAAAUCGCGUUCCCCAAAUUGAUUGGCGGUCACGUCGAGCUUCCAUAGCGUAGUAGUAAAACCCUCGUUACUGGUAAUCGUCGCGGCCACGCCGUUAAACCCCAACUUCUGAAUGUUGACCUCGGAUCAGGUAGGAAUACCCGCUGAACCUAAGCAUAUCAAUA
Molecule: unclassified non-coding RNA, 552 nt
Filed under: Fusarium verticillioides
Lineage: Eukaryota; Fungi; Ascomycota; Sordariomycetes; Hypocreales; Nectriaceae
Description: sequence contains 18S rRNA gene, ITS1, 5.8S rRNA gene, ITS2, 28S rRNA gene
Rfam family: 5.8S ribosomal RNA (bases 194-347)
Source: RNAcentral